Molecule: long non-coding RNA, 2561 nt
Filed under: Sus scrofa (pig)
Lineage: Eukaryota; Metazoa; Chordata; Mammalia; Artiodactyla; Suidae
Description: lncRNA (ENSSSCG00060036295.1)
Source: RNAcentral
AUGAAUGGAAACACACAUAUGCUAAAUAACUUGCCUUCUGAAACUCUGUCCAUUGCCAGAUCCACUAGACCAUACAAUGGGGAGGGUGCUUCCAGGCAGAGAGGAGGAGAAAGGCACAAUCCAAGUUUCCAUGGACAAAAGCACAGGUCCAGCACCAUCUUCAGUGUUACAGGAGUGAAAACAGCAUUGAGCCUUCUUUUUCUACCUCCUGCUACCCAGCACAUGGGCCUCAUCUCCUCUUCCCGGAGCUGCCUCCCAGCCGUCUCCCCUCUUACUUUCCCUUCAUUCAAUCUAGUCUGCACAUCCAGAGGACCAGGAUAAAGCUCUGCACCAAGAUGAGGACUGGCCACUCCCUCCGCCUGGGCCUUGAGGAACGUAGCUGCGCUUGAAUGCCAGAUGUGGAGGCUCUACUGCCCUCUGGCAGCCCAGGCUUGGUAGUGGACACUCUGGAAACAGCAGCAGGGUUAGCGCUCAGAGUGCUAAACGCUUUGAAGAGAAGUGAAGCAGGUGACAUGACACAGAGCAACUGAGAAGUGUGCGUGGUGUGGGGUGCAAUUUCAGAGAGGGUGGCCAUGUGCCUCUGAGGAGGUGACAUUUGUGCAAAGAACCUGAGCCAUUGGGGAAAGAGGGUUCCAGGCAAAGAGAAUAGCAAGAGCAAAGGCCCUAAGGCAGUGCGUGCUUGUCUGAGGUUUUUGUUUGUUGCGCCCACAACGUGUGGAAGUUCCUGGGCCAGGGAUUAAACCCAAGCCACAGCGGUGACCUAAGUCCCUACUGCUAGGCCACCAGGAACCUCUUUGCUUGAGUUUUUUAAAAUUUGUUCUCAUCGUAGUAAAAUAAUCACAACGUAAAAUUUAUCAUUUAAACUAUUUUUAAGUGUAUAAAUUGAUGUCAUUAAAUACAUUCACAUUGUUGUGCAACCAUUACCACCAUCCACCAUUCCCGGGACUUUUUCAUCUUUCCCCAGCAAAACCUUUGUGUCUACAAAACAGUAGCUCAUUCUCCAUAACCCCUGGUAACCACUAUUGUACUCUCUGUCUCUAUGAAUUUAAGUACUCUAGGCACCUCAUACAAGUGGGAUCAUACAGUAUUUGUCCUUUUAUGUCUGGCUUAUUUCACUCAGAAUAAUGGUUUCAAAGUUUGUCCAUGUUGUAGCAUGCGCCAGAAUCUCCUUCCUUUUAAAGGCUGAAUAACAUUCCAAUACAUGGAUAUACCACAUUUUGUUUACCAUUCGCCUGUCGAUGAACACCUGGGUUACUUCUGCCUUUUGGCUCUUGCGAUUAAUGCUGCUAUGAACAUGGAUUUACAAACAUGUUUUGAGUCCCUGCUUUCAGUUCUUUUGGGUAUAUACCCAGAGUGGAAUUGCUGGACCCUAUGGUAAUUCUGCUUAACUUCCUGAGGAACCACCCUACUGUUUUCUCCAGCAGCCGUACCCUUUACAUUCCUAUUAGCAAUGUAUGAGCGUUCCAGUUUCUCUACACCCUCAACAUUUGUUGUUUUCUGCUGUUUGAUUUUAAGGAACAUUGAGAAGGCCAGUAUGGCUGGAUCAGAGUCAGCAAGAAAGAUAGGAGCAGGAAGAGGGCCAGAGAGGUCUAACCAUGAAGGGCCUGUAGACACGGAAAGGACAGGCUAUCAAUGAGUGAGACUGGGAGCUUUUUGAGAGCAUUGAGCUAUGGAGGGUCAUAAUCCCAUUUAUAAUAAGGAAGUUAAAACUUAAUGCUUCCAGCUCCAGAAGCAUGGGGCCUCCAAGGCCAGCACAAUCCUCUUUUCUCCCAAGCUGCCAAAGGGUUAAGUAAAUGUAAACACGGGUAAAUGCAGUGAAAGGAGAUAUUUCCUUCCCCUGGUUGACACACCUGAUGCAGGAAGCAGACUCCUGCUCCCUGGGAAUGAGAGGCCUGGCCAGACUUGUGCUUCAAGAAGAAAAUGAACGUCGCCUGGACACAAGAUGGCUUAGCACUUCCCAUGUCAGUUUCUAAGAGCUACUGAACAGCCUAAGGCCCCAUCUGUUUUCAAUCUUGUUAAAAGGGCCUCGUGUGCUGGCGCCUAUUUAAAAUAAUGCACACAUGGAGUUUCUAAAAUGAAGAAGAAAAAAGGCUCAUGCUUUCCCUGCCGGCACAGCUUAUGUGUUUAUUUUGGAGCAGGCUUUGGGAGUUCUGAGACAAGACAUAGCUAAUUUCUCUUCCCGGGGUUGAUUUGCAAGUCCCCAUAGGCUUUUGUUCCAAGCAUUUAAGGCAGCUUGGUAUGAACUGGUCACCCCUUCAAAAGUCCACUGUAAAAUAUCUCCAGAUUAAGGCUGGGCUCAGGAAAGGGGAGCCCAAGGCGGCUUUCUUCCUUGCAGAAGGGAUGUUUCCUCAAUUCCUUUUCCUCAGUAGAGACUUACAUUUUGAAAGGCUGAGUUGCCCUUCUCAUAUGCUCAUUUUCUUCCCAAGAGGCCACAGUAGCUCCAAGACAGCAUGACCAAGAUAGAGUCAAGAGCCAGUGUGAACCUAAUCCCCAAAUGAGGAUGGCAAGGGGCAGUCAGGGAAGAGCCCCCUGCAGUCAAUAAACUCCCAUGUCAAGAAGCA